This 253-nucleotide ribosomal RNA is filed under the name uncultured bacterium. RNAcentral describes it as "partial 16S ribosomal RNA". It matches the Rfam family "Bacterial small subunit ribosomal RNA", at positions 524 to 776 of the family's 1533-position model. The record is from RNAcentral.
GACGGAGGAUGCAAGCGUUAUCCGGAAUGAUUGGGCGUAAAGCGUCCGCAGGUGGCAGUUCAAGUCUGCUGUCAAAGACCGGGGCUUAACUUCGGAAAGGCAGUGGAAACUGAACAGCUAGAGUAUGGUAGGGGCAGAGGGAAUUCCUGGUGUAGCGGUGAAAUGCGUAGAGAUCAGGAAGAACAUCGGUGGCGAAGGCGCUCUGCUGGACCAUAACUGACACUCAGGGACGAAAACUAGGGGAGCGAAUGGG